GGCGGCGUGCCUAAUACAUGCAAGUCGAACGAGUUCUGAUUAUUGAAAGGUGCUUGCAUCUUGAUUUAAUUUUGAACGAGUGGCGGACGGGUGAGUAACACGUGGGUAACCUGCCCUUAAGUGGGGGAUAACAUUUGGAAACAGAUGCUAAUACCGCAUAAAUCCAAGAACCGCAUGGUUCUUGGCUGAAAGAUGGCGUAAGCUAUCGCUUUUGGAUGGACCCGCGGCGUAUUAGCUAGUUGGUGAGGUAACGGCUCACCAAGGCAAUGAUACGUAGCCGAACUGAGAGGUUGAUCGGCCACAUUGGGACUGAGACACGGCCCAAACUCCUACGGGAGGCAGCAGUAGGGAAUCUUCCACAAUGGACGCAAGUCUGAUGGAGCAACGCCGCGUGAGUGAAGAAGGCUUUCGGGUCGUAAAACUCUGUUGUUGGAGAAGAAUGGUCGGCAGAGUAACUGUUGUCGGCGUGACGGUAUCCAACCAGAAAGCCACGGCUAACUACGUGCCAGCAGCCGCGGUAAUACGUAGGUGGCAAGCGUUAUCCGGAUUUAUUGGGCGUAAAGCGAGCGCAGGCGGUUUUUUAAGUCUGAUGUGAAAGCCCUCGGCUUAACCGAGGAAGUGCAUCGGAAACUGGGAAACUUGAGUGCAGAAGAGGACAGUGGAACUCCAUGUGUAGCGGUGAAAUGCGUAGAUAUAUGGAAGAACACCAGUGGCGAAGGCGGCUGUCUGGUCUGUAACUGACGCUGAGGCUCGAAAGCAUGGGUAGCGAACAGGAUUAGAUACCCUGGUAGUCCAUGCCGUAAACGAUGAAUGCUAGGUGUUGGAGGGUUUCCGCCCUUCAGUGCCGCAGCUAACGCAUUAAGCAUUCCGCCUGGGGAGUACGACCGCAAGGUUGAAACUCAAAGGAAUUGACGGGGGCCCGCACAAGCGGUGGAGCAUGUGGUUUAAUUCGAAGCAACGCGAAGAACCUUACCAGGUCUUGACAUCUUUUGAUCACCUGAGAGAUCAGGUUUCCCCUUCGGGGGCAAAAUGACAGGUGGUGCAUGGUUGUCGUCAGCUCGUGUCGUGAGAUGUUGGGUUAAGUCCCGCAACGAGCGCAACCCUUAUGACUAGUUGCCAGCAUUUAGUUGGGCACUCUAGUAAGACUGCCGGUGACAAACCGGAGGAAGGUGGGGAUGACGUCAAAUCAUCAUGCCCCUUAUGACCUGGGCUACACACGUGCUACAAUGGAUGGUACAACGAGUUGCGAGACCGCGAGGUCAAGCUAAUCUCUUAAAGCCAUUCUCAGUUCGGACUGUAGGCUGCAACUCGCCUACACGAAGUCGGAAUCGCUAGUAAUCGCGGAUCAGCACGCCGCGGUGAAUACGUUCCCGGGCCUUGUACACACCGCCCGUCACACCAUGAGAGUUUGUAACACCCGAAGCCGGUGGCGUAACCCUUUUAGGGAGCGAGCCGUCUAAGGUGGGACAAAUGAUUAGGGUGAAG
Molecule: ribosomal RNA, 1485 nt
Filed under: Lacticaseibacillus rhamnosus
Lineage: Bacteria; Bacillati; Bacillota; Bacilli; Lactobacillales; Lactobacillaceae
Description: bacterial SSU rRNA
Rfam family: Bacterial small subunit ribosomal RNA
Source: RNAcentral